GGGUUGUGAGGUUAAGCGACCAAGCGUACACGGUGGAUGCCCUGGCAGUCAGAGGCGAUGAAGGACGUGCUAAUCUGCGAAAAGCGCCGGUAAGGUGAUAUGAACCGUUAUAACCGGCGAUGUCCGAAUGGGGAAACCCAGUGUGAUUCGUCACACUAUCAUUAACUGAAUCCAUAGGUUAAUGAGGCGAACCGGGGGAACUGAAACAUCUAAGUACCCCGAGGAAAAGAAAUCAACCGAGAUUCCCCCAGUAGCGGCGAGCGAACGGGGAGGAGCCCAGAGCCUGAAUCAGCAUGUGUGUUAGUGGAAGCGUCUGGAAAGGCGCGCGAUACAGGGUGACAGCCCCGUACACAAAAGCGCACGUGCUGUGAGCUCGAUGAGUAGGGCGGGACACGUGGUAUCCUGUCUGAAUAUGGGGGGACCAUCCUCCAAGGCUAAAUACUCCUGACUGACCGAUAGUGAACCAGUACCGUGAGGGAAAGGCGAAAAGAACCCCGGCGAGGGGAGUGAAACAGAACCUGAAACCGUGUACGUACAAGCAGUGGGAGCCCCACCACCAAAGCGUUUCGCUUUGCGUGGUGCGCAAAAUGCGUAACGACAGCACGAUUGUGGUUAACGGAGCGUAAGCGACGUUCAACACAAAAAUCAGGCAGUGGAGCGU
Molecule: ribosomal RNA, 661 nt
Filed under: Salmonella enterica
Lineage: Bacteria; Pseudomonadati; Pseudomonadota; Gammaproteobacteria; Enterobacterales; Enterobacteriaceae
Description: partial 23S ribosomal RNA
Rfam family: Bacterial large subunit ribosomal RNA
Source: RNAcentral